This is a non-coding RNA of Arabidopsis suecica, 122 nucleotides long. The record is from the annotation of a GenBank genome assembly. Lineage: Eukaryota; Viridiplantae; Streptophyta; Magnoliopsida; Brassicales; Brassicaceae.
UUAAAUGGGUUAACAUCUCAAACCAUUAAAUUAAAUGAGUUAUAGGUUGACCCAACACAUUUAACAAAAUGAGUUGGGUCAACCCAUAACUCAUUUAUUCCUAAACUCAUUUGAUUAUAAGU